RNAcentral lists this ribosomal RNA (781 nucleotides) under uncultured Neocallimastigales. RNAcentral describes it as "partial large subunit ribosomal RNA". It matches the Rfam family "Eukaryotic large subunit ribosomal RNA", at positions 22 to 640 of the family's 3401-position model. Lineage: Eukaryota; Fungi; Neocallimastigomycota; Neocallimastigomycetes; Neocallimastigales. The record is from RNAcentral.
CAUAGCGACUAUCGUGGCAUAUCAAUAAGCGGAGGAAAAGAAACUAACAAGGAUUCCCCUUAGUAACGGCGAGUGAAGCGGGAAGAGCUCAAAUUUGAAAUCUUCAAGGGUUCUACCUUGACGAAUUGUAGUUUAUAGAAGUGUUUUCUGUUAGUAGAGGUGGCUAAAAGUUCUUGGAAUAGGACAUCAUAGAGGGUGAGAAUCCCGUAUUUGAUCAUUCUUUCUAACGUUGUGAUACACUUUCAACGAGUCGGAUUGUUUGGGAAUGCAGUCCAAAAUGGGUGGUAAAUUUCAUCUAAAGCUAAAUAUUGGCGAGAGACCGAUAGCGAACAAGUACCGUGAGGGAAAGAUGAAAAGAACUUUGAAAAGAGAGUUAAACAGUACGUGAAAUUGUCAAAAGGGAAGCGUUUGACACCAGUGUUGUUUAGUUGAAAAUCAAUUCAAUAUUUUUGAUUUUGAAGUAGUAUUGACUUCAUCAGCUUGCCGCUUUCUUUUCCGAAAUUAUUGAAUGCACUUUUCAGUUAACAAGUCAACAUCAAUUUCUUUUGUUGUAAAAGGGUAAGAGGAAGGUGGCUUACGCUUCGGCGUCAAGUGUUUAUAGCCUUUUACCUCUGCAAUCGGAGAGAUUGAGGUCAUGCAGCGUAGACUCCUUCGGGGUUAGAUACACUUGUGCUAAGCUAUAGCCUUGUAUAGACAACUUGUUGACUAUGCUCAGUCAUGUAGCUUACUCGCAUGAUGCUAUUUUACCUACGCUUAGGAUGUUGAUAUGCAUGACUGAUAU